AGUGAACGCUGGCGGUAGGCCUAACACAUGCAAGUCGAACGGCAGCACAGUAAGAGCUUGCUCUUACGGGUGGCGAGUGGCGGACGGGUGAGGAAUACAUCGGACUCUACUUUUUCGUGGGGGAUAACGUAGGGAAACUUACGCUAAUACCGCAUACGACCUACGGGUGAAAGCAGGGGAUCUUCGGACCUUGCGCGAUUGAAUGAGCCGAUGUCGGAUUAGCUAGUUGGGGGGGUAAAGGCCCACCAAGGCGACGAUCCGUAGCUGGUCUGAGAGGAUGAUCGGCCACACUGGAACUGAGACACGGUCCAGACUCCUACGGGAGGCAGCAGUGGGGAAUAUUGGACAAUGGGCGCAAGCCUGAUCCAGCCAUACCGCGUGGGUGAAGAAGGCCUUCGGGUUGUAAAGCCCUUUUGUUGGGAAAGAAAAGCAGCAGGUUAAUACCCCGCUGUUCUGACGGUACCCAAAGAAUAAGCACCGGCUAACUUCGUG
RNAcentral lists this ribosomal RNA (492 nucleotides) under uncultured bacterium. RNAcentral describes it as "partial 16S ribosomal RNA". It matches the Rfam family "Bacterial small subunit ribosomal RNA", at positions 29 to 507 of the family's 1533-position model. The record is from RNAcentral.